GUGUGUGUGUGUGUGUGUGCGUGCGCGUCGGCCACUUUUGGUAAGCAGAACUGGUGAUGUGGAAUGAACCGAACGUCCGGCUAAGGUACCCUACGCUUCGCCCAUUAGAUUCCCGAAAGGGCGUCGGUCGAUAUAGACGGCAGGACGGUGGCCACAGAAGUCAGAACCCGCUCAGGAGUGUGUAACAAAUUACCUGCCGAAUCGACCGGCCUCGAAAAUGGAUGGCGCUGGAGCGAGCGACCGAUGCCGGUGAAAAGUAACAACCACAUACAAUCACCAAACAUCUUCACUACUUAACACCGUCCAAGUCAACCCUCUUCACCUUUACAGCUGACAUGAAAAACCACGAGGAAAAGGCAACCAUUUUAAUUAAGCAAAAAAAAAAUUGAGAAAAAAACUUAUUGCUAUUAAAACGCUUGA
Long non-coding RNA from Octopus sinensis (East Asian common octopus), 420 nucleotides. RefSeq lists it as uncharacterized. The transcript has 3 exons. NCBI's taxonomy places the organism in Eukaryota, Metazoa, Mollusca, Cephalopoda, Octopoda, Octopodidae. The record is from RefSeq and is a predicted model, not a curated record.